GUAUUAUUUUGUAAUGAUUUAAACCUUUUUUCAGAAUAUCACUAAUCAGUAAAAAAAUGUUCUUUGCCUGCAGGGUGGGGUUCAUUUCUUUUGUUCCUGAGAGCUGAAUAGGAGAAAGGGACAUUUCAGCUUUUCUUGAUAAAGAUUAUAUCAUCUUACUUACACUGUGAGACAAGAAUAAUUAUUGAAAAUUAAGAGCUCUACAGAUACCCAUUGGGAGACCUAAACUUCGUGUUCAGGAAAUGUCCCUAGUCCCCUUGGGGUUAUUGUUAAAAAAUAGCAUGCCUGGUAGUGCUUCCUGACUGCACCAUAUUCUGUUACCUUGCCUCAGUAUCAUAAAGAGCCUGAAGCUGAGAAAUUGUGUUGAAGUUCCUCUGGGUUUACAUUCUUGGAACUUUUCCUAGAGCAAUUUCAUGACUUAAUUUGCAUUUGGUGUUAGAAAAUUUAUAAGACUCUGGUGCUUUGUUACUUAUACCUAGAUUUUGAAAGGAAAAAGAAUGAAUGCCUGUUAAAUUUAAAAUAAAGUUGUAGCCUUUUCCUAUAAAAAUGGAUGU
RNAcentral lists this long non-coding RNA (554 nucleotides) under Cyanistes caeruleus (blue tit). Its description in RNAcentral is "lncRNA (ENSCCEG00000021497.1)". Lineage: Eukaryota; Metazoa; Chordata; Aves; Passeriformes; Paridae. The record is from RNAcentral.